This 445-nucleotide ribosomal RNA is filed under the name uncultured organism. RNAcentral's name for it is "partial 16S ribosomal RNA". It matches the Rfam family "Bacterial small subunit ribosomal RNA", at positions 335 to 797 of the family's 1533-position model. The record is from RNAcentral.
ACUCCUGCGGGAGGCAGCAGUGGGGAAUAUUGGACAAUGGGCGAAAGCCUGAUCCAGCAAUGCCGCGUGAGUGAUGAAGGCCUUAGGGUUGUAAAGCUCUUUUACCCGGGAUGAUAAUGACAGUACCGGGAGAAUAAGCCCCGGCUAACUCCGUGCCAGCAGCCGCGGUAAUAAGGAGGGGGCUAGCGUUGUUCGGAAUUACUGGGCGUAAAGCGCGCGUAGGCGGCUUUGUAAGUUAGAGGUGAAAGCCCGGAGCUCAACUUCGGAAUUGCCAUUAAGACUGCAUCGCUAGAAUCGUGGAGAGGUGAGUGGAAUUCCGAGUGUAGAGGUGAAAUUCGUAGAUAUUCGGAAGAACACCAGUGGCGAAGGCGACUCACUGGACACGUAUUGACGCUGAGGUGCGAAAGCGUGGGGAGCAAACAGGAUUAGAAACCCUGGUAGUCCC